RNAcentral lists this ribosomal RNA (492 nucleotides) under Enterobacter cloacae. Its description in RNAcentral is "bacterial SSU rRNA". It matches the Rfam family "Bacterial small subunit ribosomal RNA", at positions 944 to 1438 of the family's 1533-position model. The record is from RNAcentral. Lineage: Bacteria; Pseudomonadati; Pseudomonadota; Gammaproteobacteria; Enterobacterales; Enterobacteriaceae.
GUUUAUUCGAUGCACGCGAAGAACCUUACCUGGUCUUGACAUCCACAGAACUUUCCAGAGAUGGAUUGGUGCCUUCGGGAACUGUGACACAGGUGCUGCAUGGCUGUCGUCAGCUCGUGUUGUGAAAUGUUGGGUUAAGUCCCGCAACGAGCGCAACCCUUGUCCUUUKUUCCCASCGGUUCGGCCGGGAACUCAAAGGAGACUGCCGUUGAUAAACGGGAGGAAGGUGGGGAUGACGUCAAGUCUUCAUGGCCCUUACGGCCAGGGUUACACACUUSUUACAAKGGUCGGUACAAAGAGAAUGCACCUCGCGAGAKCAAGCUAAUCCCAUAAGUCCGAUCUAUUCCGGAUGGGAUUUUGCAAUUGGAUUCCAUGAAUUGGGAAUCGUUGGUAAUCGUGAUUCAGAAUGCUACGGUGAAUACGUUCCCGGGCCUUGUACACACCGCCCGUCACACCAUGGGAGUGGUUGCACACAAGAAGCUAGGUAGCUAA